GAUGAACGCUGGCGGCGUGCCUAAUACAUGCAAGUCGAGCGAACAGACGCGGAGCUUGCUCCUCUGACGUUAGCGGCGGACGGGUGAGUAACACGUGGAUAACCUACCUAUAAGACUGGGAUAACUUCGGGAAACCGGAGCUAAUACCGGAUAAUAUAUUGAACCGCAUGGUUCAAUAGUGAAAGACGGUUUUGCUGUCACUUAUAGAUGGAUCCGCGCCGCAUUAGCUAGUUGGUAAGGUAACGGCUUACCAAGGCAACGAUGCGUAGCCGACCUGAUAGGGUGAUCGGCCACACUGGAACUGAGACACGGUCCAGAGUCCUACGGGAGGCAGCAGUAGGGAAUCUGCCGCAAUGGGCGAAAGCCUGACGGAGCGACGCCGCGUGAGUGAUGAAGGUCUUCGGAUCGUAAAACUCUGUUAUUAGGGAAGAACAAAUGUGUAAGUAACUAUGCACGUCUUGACGGUACCUAAUCAGAAAGCCACGGCUAACUACGUG
This 497-nucleotide ribosomal RNA is filed under the name uncultured bacterium. RNAcentral describes it as "partial 16S ribosomal RNA". It matches the Rfam family "Bacterial small subunit ribosomal RNA", at positions 28 to 507 of the family's 1533-position model. The record is from RNAcentral.